This 420-nucleotide ribosomal RNA is filed under the name actinobacterium SCGC AAA044-M02. RNAcentral's name for it is "bacterial SSU rRNA". It matches the Rfam family "Bacterial small subunit ribosomal RNA", at positions 354 to 786 of the family's 1533-position model. The record is from RNAcentral. Lineage: Bacteria; Bacillati; Actinomycetota; Actinomycetes.
GUGGGGAAUAUUGCGCAAUGGGCGAAAGCCUGACGCAGCAACGCCGCGUGAGGGAUGAAGGCCUUCGGGUUGUAAACCUCUUUUAGCAGGGAAGAAGCGAAAGUGACGGUACCUGCAGAAAAAGCACCGGCUAACUACGUGCCAGCAGCCGCGGUAAUACGUAGGGUGCAAGCGUUAUCCGGAAUUAUUGGGCGUAAAGAGCUCGUAGGCGGUUUGUCGCGUCUGCUGUGAAAAUCUGAGGCUCAACCUCGGACUUGCAGUGGGUACGGGCAGACUAGAGUGCGGUAGGGGAGAAGGGAAUUCCUGGUGUAGCGGUGGAAUGCGCAGAUAUCAGGAGGAACACCAAUGGCGAAGGCACUUCUCUGGGCCGUAACUGACGCUGAGGAGCGAAAGCGUGGGGAGCGAACAGGAUUAAAUACC